RNAcentral lists this microRNA (20 nucleotides) under Bos taurus (domestic cattle). RNAcentral describes it as "bta-miR-2429". Lineage: Eukaryota; Metazoa; Chordata; Mammalia; Artiodactyla; Bovidae. The record is from miRBase by way of RNAcentral.
AAAAACUUUUCCCUUUUUUU